This 311-nucleotide ribosomal RNA is filed under the name uncultured bacterium. Its description in RNAcentral is "bacterial SSU rRNA". It matches the Rfam family "Bacterial small subunit ribosomal RNA", at positions 335 to 607 of the family's 1533-position model. The record is from RNAcentral.
ACUCCUACGGGAGGCAGCAGUGGGGAAUAUUGCACAAUGGGCGCAAAGCCUGAUGCAGCCAUGCCGCGUGUAUGAAGAAGGCCUUCGGGUUGUAAAGCCACUUUUCAGUUCGUGAGGAAGGUAAGUGUAGGUUUAAAUUAAGCUGGCCAAUUUUAAUUUUGGACGGUUUAAGCGGACCNGAAAAGGAAAGGAACCCGGGCCUAACUCCGUGCCAGCAGCCGCGGUAAUACGGAGGGUGCGAGCGUUAAUCGGAAUUACUGGGCGUAAAGCGCAUGCAGGUGGUUUGUUAAGUCAGAUGUGAAAGCCCGGGG